AGUGAACGCUGGCGGUAGGCCUAACACAUGCAAGUCGAACGGCAGCACAGUAAGAGCUUGCUCUUACGGGUGGCGAGUGGCGGACGGGUGAGGAAUACAUCGGAAUCUACUUUUUCGUGGGGGAUAACGUAGGGAAACUUACGCUAAUACCGCAUACGACUUACGGGUGAAAGCAGGGGAUCUUCGGACCUUGCGCGAUUGAAUGAGCCGAUGUCGGAUUAGCUAGUUGGCGGGGUAAAGGCCCACCAAGGCGACGAUCCGUAGCUGGUCUGAGAGGAUGAUCAGCCACACUGGAACUGAGACACGGUCCAGACUCCUACGGGAGGCAGCAGUGGGGAAUAUUGGACAAUGGGCGCAAGCCUGAUCCAGCCAUACCGCGUGGGUGAAGAAGGCCUUCGGGUUGUAAAGCCCUUUUGUUGGGAAAGAAAAGCAGCAGGUUAAUACCCCGCUGUUCUGACGGUACCCAAAGAAUAAGCACCGGCGAACUUCGU
Molecule: ribosomal RNA, 491 nt
Filed under: uncultured bacterium
Lineage: Bacteria
Description: partial 16S ribosomal RNA
Rfam family: Bacterial small subunit ribosomal RNA
Source: RNAcentral